UGGGGAAUUUUGGACAAUGGGCGAAAGCCUGAUCCAGCAAUGCCGCGUGUGUGAAGAAGGCCUUCGGGUUAUAAAGCACUUUUGUCCGGAAAGAAAUCCUCUGGGUUAAUACCUCGGGGGGAUGACGGUACCGGAAGAAUAAGCACCGGCUAACUACGUGCCAGCAGCCGCGGUAAUACGUAGGGUGCAAGCGUUAAUCGGAAUUACUGGGCGUAAAGCGUGCGCAGGCGGUUUUGUAAGACGGAUGUGAAAUCCCCGGGCUUAACCUGGGAACUGCAUUCGUGACUGCAAGGCUAGAGUAUGGCAGAGGGGGGUUAGAAUUCCACGUGUAGCAGUGAAAUGCGUAGAGAUGUGGAGGAAUACCGAUGGCGAAGGCAGCCCCCUGGGCCAAUACUGACGCUCAUGCACGAAAGCGUGGGGAGCAAACAGGAUUCAGAUACCCUGGUAGUCCACGCCCUAAACGAUGUCAACUAGUUGUUGGGGAUUCAUUUCCUUAGUAACGUAGCUAACGCGUGAAGUUGACCGCCUGGGGAGUACGGUCGCAAGACUGAAACUCAAAUGAAUUGACGGGGUCAUAGCUGUUUCCU
Molecule: ribosomal RNA, 587 nt
Filed under: uncultured bacterium
Lineage: Bacteria
Description: partial 16S ribosomal RNA
Rfam family: Bacterial small subunit ribosomal RNA
Source: RNAcentral